Non-coding RNA from Heterocephalus glaber (naked mole-rat), 1729 nucleotides. Lineage: Eukaryota; Metazoa; Chordata; Mammalia; Rodentia; Bathyergidae. The record is from RefSeq and is a predicted model, not a curated record.
AGCUGCGGGCUCGGGGCUCCCGCCGGCCCGUGCCCCACCCCCUCCCGGGGUGUCCUGCUGUGGGCGCCGCCGCCCCCGCCCGGCUGGACUGAGGACUGCCCGCGGCCCAGAGCUUUGCCCCCGCCUGUGGGGUCGGUGACCCGGAGUUGGAGGGAGAGGGAGCGAGGGCUCGGGCGCGAAGGUUUGGCUGGAAUCGAGGGUGAACAGAGUCGACGGAUUCUGAUGUUAGCUUCCUUUCUGAGGAAUCCAGUUACCCCCGAAUGGCAGAAGGCUUCUCAGGAUGCAGUUUCUGGAGUACCCGCUCCUGUCAUCUUCACACUCUCACCACUGCUGCUUCCAUAAAAGACAAGAGAUGAAUGAGGAGGUGAUAAACCCAUAGAGAAUAUACAGUUUAAUUCAGGCAUUAAAAAACAAUGAGUCAAUUCCAUAUGAUUGAGGAGAACCUUAAGUCCAAUACAUACUCUUACAUCCAGUUUCCGUUGAGAUUAUUUUUACUACUCAGUUGUUGUUGCUGAUAUCCAUCUUUACUGAUACGGGGAAUCGGAGAGGAGGCUUUUAAAUGGCAGAGGUAGAAAAAAGCCUUAAAGAGGAAAGAAAAUCAAGUCAAGCAAAAAUUCUCGUGUUCGAUGCCAGAAUUCAUAAUUAUAUUUCAGCCUACAGAGUUCUAGAAUCCCUGCAUACCUAACUUCCUACCACAAAAGAAGUCAUUGUCAUUGACUGCUUCACUAAAAAUGUCAGGGCCACCUCUUAGCGUGCCCCUUCCAAAGUGUGAUUUGUGUUGGACACUUGUGAAGAGUAGAUCUAAGAAACUCCCUGCCUUCCUAAUGUGUCUCUAAAAUAUGCCAGUUUUGUGAAUGUGCCUCUAAUAUUGAGACUCUGAGCCAAAGAAAAAAGGCACUUCAUACUUACUGUCCAGUUUCAGCUCAUUCCCGAAGUACCCAUGGAAGAUGUUAGAGGAUAAACUACCAGAUAUGACCACUGAAUGUACAGAGAAAUAUCCAGGCUUUGGGCCCUGCUCUUUCCACUCUUGAUUUCCUCAAAGGAGCUCAUAGCUAUAAUUGCCUUGAUUUCAGAGGACACUUUGGAUUUCAACUUUUUAGCAGUGCUGGAAUAGCUGGAAUUCGUUUCUGCAGCUUGCAACCAAGAGUGUUCACUAAUAUACAAUGUGUCUUUACAUGAGCAUCCUGGGGCUGCCACUAGUAUAUGAACCAUCAAUAGUUUUACAAGUGUAAAGGAUCAGGAACCAGAAGUAACACAGUCUUUCAGGCACCAGAUGAGUAGGCGAUGCCAGGAGAAAAAAGGUGGGAAGAGACUUUGAGAAGACUUAGAGGAAGGAGAAAGUCCACAGCAUUUGUUAAGGGAACCUGGCCCUAUGUUUUCCUGGGAAUUUCUACUGGAGUACUACUUCUGGCUUCUUGUACCAUUGUUUGUCUUACUCAAGAGUUAGUUGACCAGUGAACUUAGUUAUAUUCAUUAGCUCAAAGUUCUUGACUGAGUCGAGCUAAUCUAGCAAAAAAUCCCUAAUUACUGUGAUUCAUUCUCUUUUUUCCGUUUCUGACCUAGACUUGGGUAGACAUACUUGGGUAAACGUGUUUGCUCUGUAGGCCAGUGUUCCCCUUUUGGUGGCCUAUUCUCAGGGUAGAUUCUUUAGGGGUUGAGAGUGAGCAGAAUGUUGCCAACCCCUUUGGGUUAUAUAGAUCAAGAACCCUUUAUUAGCCUAUCUGUAAUA